UAAGUUUGAAGUGAAAUCCUAUAGCUUAACUAUAGAACUGCUUUGAAAACUGUUAAUCUAGAAUGUGGGAGAGGUAGAUGGAAUUUCUGGUGUAGGGGUAAAAUCCGUAGAGAUCAGAAGGAAUACCGAUUGCGAAGGCGAUCCACUGGAACAUUAUUGACGCUGAGAUGCGAAAGCGUGGGGAGCAAACAGGAUUAGAUACCCUGGUAGUCCACGCCCUAAACGAUGUACACUAGUUGUUGUGAGACUUGAUCUUGCAGUAAUGCAGUUAACACAUUAAGUGUACCGCCUGGGGAGUACGGUCGCAAGAUUAAAACUCAAAGGAAUAGACGGGGACCCGCACAAGCGGUGGAGCAUGUGGUUUAAUUCGAAGAUACACGAAGAACCUUACCUGGACUUGACAUAGUAAGAACUUUCUAGAGAUAGAUUGGUGUCUGCUUGCAGAAACUUAUAUACAGGUGCUGCACGGCUGUCGUCAGCUCGUGUCGUGAGAUGUUGGGUUAAGUCCCGCAACGAGCGCAACCCUCGUGUUUAGUUGCUAACAGUUCGGCUGAGAACUCUAAACAGACUGCCUACGCAAGUAGGAGGAAGGUGAGGACGACGUCAAGUCAUCAUGGCCCUUACGUCCAGGGCUACACACGUGCUACAAUGGGAUAUACAAAGAGCCGCAAUACGGUGACGUGGAGCAAAUCUUAUAAAAUAUCUCCCAGUUCGGAUUGUAGUCUGCAACUCGACUACAUGAAGUUGGAAUCGCUAGUAAUCGUAGAUCAGCUAUGCUACGGUGAAUACGUUCCCGGGUCUUGUACUCUACC
Molecule: ribosomal RNA, 812 nt
Filed under: Aliarcobacter cryaerophilus
Lineage: Bacteria; Pseudomonadati; Campylobacterota; Epsilonproteobacteria; Campylobacterales; Arcobacteraceae
Description: bacterial SSU rRNA
Rfam family: Bacterial small subunit ribosomal RNA
Source: RNAcentral